RNAcentral lists this long non-coding RNA (406 nucleotides) under Heterocephalus glaber (naked mole-rat). RNAcentral describes it as "lncRNA (ENSHGLG00100048848.1)". Lineage: Eukaryota; Metazoa; Chordata; Mammalia; Rodentia; Bathyergidae. The record is from RNAcentral.
AUAGAAGAAAGUGCUCAGCUGCCACAUGGCCUACUCUUCCUUAUGCAUGAAGACACUGCGGCUCAGCAUCCACCAUAAUUCAUCCCAGGUCACUAUGGGCUUAGGCCUAAUGCUUCUUGGCUAAGAAAAUUCAGAGGUGUAGCAGGUGCUCAGAAAAAAAUGGUCUUACUGUGUAGUCCAGGCUGGCCUCAAAUUCAUGGAAAUCCCACUGCCUCUGCCUCCUGAGUGCUAGGAUUACAGGCAUGCACCAUUAUGCCUGGCUUGGACUCCAGCUUGUGAUCUUCCUAACCUUAGCCUCCCAGAGUGCUGAGUUUACAGACAUGUGCCACCACACCUGGUGCCUUGAAAUCAGCAAUCUGAGGCAGGCGAUGGGGUCCCAGUGAAGACAUCAUCAGAAAGAGCAGCA